ACCCUGAUAAAAAGUAUCAUAAAAAUACGAUAAAUUUUAUUGUUACAACACCAUUUUUUCGAAAAAUAUUCACCAUUAAACAUAUUGUAAUUUACACAACACACUCACCAUCACCCCUAUUGUUCUAUACCAUUCGGCGAAUGGUAAAUGGCACUUUUACAAUAAAAAAUGGUGGUCGUUAUGUAUCUUAACCAUAAAAUUUUGAGAAAAUUUUCAUACACUUUUUCGCGAAAAACAAUAGAAUGUAUUGUGUUUUUAUGAGACAUUUUUAGGGCAAUUUUCAAAAGAUAACAAUAUAUCUUAAUGUUUUUUCAUUGUUCUUACAAUACAAAUACAAUUAAUUGAAUGGCGUCAAAUGAAUCGUUGUUACAAUAAAAAUACAAUAAUAUUUGUUGUUAUUUGUAAGCAGUUUUCGCAUUUGAAAAUCCAUAGAAUUUAUAUUUCUCGCUAACAUUUAUAUCCAGCACUAGCUGUCCCGGCAAACUUUGUCUUGCCAGGCUGUGGUGGUUUGACAACUGUUGAGCUCAUAACGUCACCGCACUCUAGAUUGGUUUUAUUUCGAUCGUGUUGAUUUCCUUCCCAGCUCACGAAAAUCAGUAUUUUAGCAUUUUUCUUACUUUUUUAGUUUAUUUUCAUAACUUUUUAUACAUAUAAACACAGCCACCAUGAAUACGAAUCGAACCGUACAAG
Aedes albopictus (Asian tiger mosquito) is the source of this 690-nucleotide long non-coding RNA. RefSeq lists it as uncharacterized. The record is from RefSeq and is a predicted model, not a curated record. NCBI's taxonomy places the organism in Eukaryota, Metazoa, Arthropoda, Insecta, Diptera, Culicidae. The transcript has 3 exons.